Molecule: long non-coding RNA, 169 nt
Organism: Maniola jurtina (meadow brown)
Lineage: Eukaryota; Metazoa; Arthropoda; Insecta; Lepidoptera; Nymphalidae
Exons: 3
Source: RefSeq, a predicted model, not a curated record
ACGAAAUGAGAACUCACUAGCCAUUUUUACUUCUAUUUCAAAAGUACAGUUAACUUUUAAAAUAUGGACUAAAAUCGCACUUUUGACACGAAAGUUGACACAAAGUUAUAAAGGCGAGUGAGAUCUCAUUUUGUACGCAUUAUAAAUAUUUUCGAUUUAACUAGAAAAG